GAGAAUCAUAUCGUUGCAUCUUCUCCAUGAAGCAUGAUCAUCUGGACGGCUCUUGGCAGACGGCAUUUUUAUUGUACCAUCUAUAAAACCCAACUUGGAUUUGGCGUUUAAAGAGAUGGUCAUGGCUCGGCACCGGGUCAAAUAAUUAUCGCCAUUGACAGGCUUGGGAACAAGGACCAAUCCUGGAUGAUCGGAAUGGUAGAGAAAAAAAGGAUCAACGGCAUUAUUCUUGCCUUCAUUGUUCUUAUCUUCCUUCGAAGAUUGCUCGCACUCCAUGAUGAGGAGCAAUGGCAGAGGAAAGAAAAAUUGAGAUGCCAAAAAAAGCAAAGAGCUAGGGUAUGUCUUCCUGCUCUGAUACCAUGUAAAAUAGGGAAGAAAGAU
RNAcentral lists this long non-coding RNA (381 nucleotides) under Prunus dulcis (almond). RNAcentral's name for it is "sRNA ncRNA". Lineage: Eukaryota; Viridiplantae; Streptophyta; Magnoliopsida; Rosales; Rosaceae. The record is from RNAcentral.